GCACUGCUGAAUAGUCCCAGACUAGGACGAAACAGCUGUCCAAUAC
RNAcentral lists this non-coding RNA (46 nucleotides) under Trichobilharzia regenti. Lineage: Eukaryota; Metazoa; Platyhelminthes; Trematoda; Strigeidida; Schistosomatidae. The record is from RNAcentral.